CCCUUAGAUGUUCUGGGCCGCACGCGCGCUACACUGUUCGACGCAGCGAGUCUUAACCUUGACCGAAAGGUUUGGGUAAUCUUCAGCAAAGUCGAACGUGAUGGGGAUCGAUCAUUGCAAUUAUUGAUCGUGAACGAGGAAUUCCUAGUAAGUGCAAGUCAUCAGCUUGCGCUGAUUACGUCCCUGCCCUUUGUACACACCGCCCGUCGCUACUACCGAUUGAAUGGUUUAGUGAGAUCUCUGGAUUGACGCUGGCUAGGGGGCGACCCUUGGCCAGACUGUUGAGAAACUGCUCAAAUUUGAUCAUUUAGAGGAAGUAAAAGUCGUAACA
This 331-nucleotide ribosomal RNA is filed under the name uncultured eukaryote. RNAcentral's name for it is "partial 18S ribosomal RNA". It matches the Rfam family "Eukaryotic small subunit ribosomal RNA", at positions 1470 to 1796 of the family's 1831-position model. The record is from RNAcentral.